Molecule: ribosomal RNA, 234 nt
Filed under: uncultured bacterium
Lineage: Bacteria
Description: partial 16S ribosomal RNA
Rfam family: Bacterial small subunit ribosomal RNA
Source: RNAcentral
UGAGUAACCUGCCCUUAACUCUGGGAUAAGCCUGGAAACUGGGUCUAAUACCGGAUAUGACUCCUCAUCGCAUGGUGGGGGGUGGAAAGCUUUUUGUGGUUUUGGAUGGACUCGCGGCCUAUCAGCUUGUUGGUGAGGUAAUGGCUCACCAAGGCGACGACGGGUAGCCGGCCUGAGAGGGUGACCGGCCACACGUGGGACUGAGACACGGCCCAGACCUCCGUACGGGAGCAG